This 132-nucleotide small RNA is filed under the name Citrobacter freundii. RNAcentral's name for it is "RtT sRNA". It matches the Rfam family "RtT RNA". Rfam says of the family: This family represents a bacterial cis-regulatory element known as RtT RNA. Lineage: Bacteria; Pseudomonadati; Pseudomonadota; Gammaproteobacteria; Enterobacterales; Enterobacteriaceae. RNAcentral also lists the same sequence under 1 other name. The record is from RNAcentral.
GUUUGCACUUGUCGGGGAAGGGUGAGAACCUUCGAUUAAGGUUCGACUCGAGCGAGAGCGAGAGAACGUUGCCAACGGCAACGGCCCGAAGGGUGAGGAGCGAAGCGACGAAUAAUCCUUCCCCCACCACCA